RNAcentral lists this transfer RNA (71 nucleotides) under Phyllidiella pustulosa. RNAcentral describes it as "tRNA-Cys". The record is from RNAcentral. Lineage: Eukaryota; Metazoa; Mollusca; Gastropoda; Nudibranchia; Phyllidiidae.
CAGAUUGUAGUUGAUAUUAAAACAAUAAGUUGCAAACUUGUAGAAAAGAUUUUUAAAAAUCUUCUAUCUGG